UAAGCGACUAAGCGUACACGGUGGAUGCCCUGGCAGUCAGAGGCGAUGAAGGACGUGCUAAUCUGCGAUAAGCGUCGGUAAGGUGAUAUGAACCGUUAUAACCGGCGAUUUCCGAAUGGGGAAACCCAGUGUGUUUCGACACACUAUCAUUAACUGAAUCCAUAGGUUAAUGAGGCGAACCGGGGGAACUGAAACAUCUAAGUACCCCGAGGAAAAGAAAUCAACCGAGAUUCCCCCAGUAGCGGCGAGCGAACGGGGAGCAGCCCAGAGCCUGAAUCAGUGUGUGUGUUAGUGGAAGCGUCUGGAAAGGCGCGCGAUACAGGGUGACAGCCCCGUACACAAAAAUGCACAUGCUGUGAGCUCGAUGAGUAGGGCGGGACACGUGGUAUCCUGUCUGAAUAUGGGGGGACCAUCCUCCAAGGCUAAAUACUCCUGACUGACCGAUAGUGAACCAGUACCGUGAGGGAAAGGCGAAAAGAACCCCGGCGAGGGGAGUGAAAAAGAACCUGAAACCGUGUACGUACAAGCAGUGGGAGCACGCUUAGGCGUGUGACUGCGUACCUUUUGUAUAAUGGGUCAGCGACUUAUAUUCUGUAGCAAGGUUAACCGAAUAGGGGAGCCGAAGGGAAACCGAGUCUUAACUGGGCGUUAAGUUGCAGGGUAUAGACCCGAAACCCGGUGAUCUAGCCAUGGGCAGGUUGAAGGUUGGGUAACACUAACUGGAGGACCGAACCGACUAAUGUUGAAAAAUUAGCGGAUGACUUGUGGCUGGGGGUGAAAGGCCAAUCAAACCGGGAGAUAGCUGGUUCUCCCCGAAAGCUAUUUAGGUAGCGCCUCGUGAAUUCAUCUCCGGGGGUAGAGCACUGUUUCGGCAAGGGGGUCAUCCCGACUUACCAACCCGAUGCAAACUGCGAAUACCGGAGAAUGUUAUCACGGGAGACACACGGCGGGUGCUAACGUCCGUCGUGAAGAGGGAAACAACCCAGACCGCCAGCUAAGGUCCCAAAGUCAUGGUUAAGUGGGAAACGAUGUGGGAAGGCCCAGACAGCCAGGAUGUUGGCUUAGAAGCAGCCAUCAUUUAAAGAAAGCGUAAUAGCUCACUGGUCGAGUCGGCCUGCGCGGAAGAUGUAACGGGGCUAAACCAUGCACCGAAGCUGCGGCAGCGACGCUUAUGCGUUGUUGGGUAGGGGAGCGUUCUGUAAGCCUGCGAAGGUGUGCUGUGAGGCAUGCUGGAGGUAUCAGAAGUGCGAAUGCUGACAUAAGUAACGAUAAAGCGGGUGAAAAGCCCGCUCGCCGGAAGACCAAGGGUUCCUGUCCAACGUUAAUCGGGGCAGGGUGAGUCGACCCCUAAGGCGAGGCCGAAAGGCGUAGUCGAUGGGAAACAGGUUAAUAUUCCUGUACUUGGUGUUACUGCGAAGGGGGGACGGAGAAGGCUAUGUUGGCCGGGCGACGGUUGUCCCGGUUUAAGCGUGUAGGCUGGUUUUCCAGGCAAAUCCGGAAAAUCAAGGCUGAGGCGUGAUGACGAGGCACUACGGUGCUGAAGCAACAAAUGCCCUGCUUCCAGGAAAAGCCUCUAAGCAUCAGGUAACAUCAAAUCGUACCCCAAACCGACACAGGUGGUCAGGUAGAGAAUACCAAGGCGCUUGAGAGAACUCGGGUGAAGGAACUAGGCAAAAUGGUGCCGUAACUUCGGGAGAAGGCACGCUGAUAUGUAGGUGAGGUCCCUCGCGGAUGGAGCUGAAAUCAGUCGAAGAUACCAGCUGGCUGCAACUGUUUAUUAAAAACACAGCACUGUGCAAACACGAAAGUGGACGUAUACGGUGUGACGCCUGCCCGGUGCCGGAAGGUUAAUUGAUGGGGUUAGCCGCAAGGCGAAGCUCUUGAUCGAAGCCCCGGUAAACGGCGGCCGUAACUAUAACGGUCCUAAGGUAGCGAAAUUCCUUGUCGGGUAAGUUCCGACCUGCACGAAUGGCGUAAUGAUGGCCAGGCUGUCUCCACCCGAGACUCAGUGAAAUUGAACUCGCUGUGAAGAUGCAGUGUACCCGCGGCAAGACGGAAAGACCCCGUGAACCUUUACUAUAGCUUGACACUGAACAUUGAGCCUUGAUGUGUAGGAUAGGUGGGAGGCUUGGAAGUGUGGACGCCAGUCUGCAUGGAGCCGACCUUGAAAUACCACCCUUUAAUGUUUGAUGUUCUAACGUUGACCCGUAAUCCGGGUUGCGGACAGUGUCUGGUGGGUAGUUUGACUGGGGCGGUCUCCUCCUAAAGAGUAACGGAGGAGCACGAAGGUUGGCUAAUCCUGGUCGGACAUCAGGAGGUUAGUGCAAUGGCAUAAGCCAGCUUGACUGCGAGCGUGACGGCGCGAGCAGGUGCGAAAGCAGGUCAUAGUGAUCCGGUGGUUCUGAAUGGAAGGGCCAUCGCUCAACGGAUAAAAGGUACUCCGGGGAUAACAGGCUGAUACCGCCCAAGAGUUCAUAUCGACGGCGGUGUUUGGCACCUCGAUGUCGGCUCAUCACAUCCUGGGGCUGAAGUAGGUCCCAAGGGUAUGGCUGUUCGCCAUUUAAAGUGGUACGCGAGCUGGGUUUAGAACGUCGUGAGACAGUUCGGUCCCUAUCUGCCGUGGGCGCUGGAGAACUGAGGGGGGCUGCUCCUAGUACGAGAGGACCGGAGUGGACGCAUCACUGGUGUUCGGGUUGUCAUGCCAAUGGCACUGCCCGGUAGCUAAAUGCGGAAGAGAUAAGUGCUGAAAGCAUCUAAGCACGAAACUUGCCCCGAGAUGAGUUCUCCCUGACUCCUUGAGAGUCCUGAAGGAACGUUGAAGACGACGACGUUGAUAGGCCGGGUGUGUAAGCGCAGCGAUGCGUUGAGCUAACCGGUACUAAUGAACCGUGAGGCUUAACCU
Molecule: ribosomal RNA, 2902 nt
Filed under: Escherichia coli 5-172-05_S4_C1
Lineage: Bacteria; Pseudomonadati; Pseudomonadota; Gammaproteobacteria; Enterobacterales; Enterobacteriaceae
Description: bacterial LSU rRNA
Rfam family: Bacterial large subunit ribosomal RNA
Source: RNAcentral